CCACAAAGCAUUUUUAUUCUAACAGUCCAAAGCAAUAGCCCCUUUACUAUGGUGUGCGGAUCCUUAGUGGUGUGUAAGAAAUUUUCAGGAGUGCUGUUGCAUGCCAUGGGCUGGAUUCACAAAAGCGUCGUUACUGAACCAACGAUGAAAUAUCGUCGUUAUAGCUCGAUACGACGAUUGUCCGUAUUCACAAAACUUGUCACAAACAGUAACGACGUUAAUCGUCAUCGUUACAUAACGACACCACGACCGUGUCGUUAUCAAUAAUUUUAAGAUGGCGGAAGAGUAUUUAUCUCUCUUAGUCGAUGAAGAGGACAGACAUAUUCGAAUAUAUCGAUUA
RNAcentral lists this long non-coding RNA (340 nucleotides) under Androctonus crassicauda. Lineage: Eukaryota; Metazoa; Arthropoda; Arachnida; Scorpiones; Buthidae. The record is from RNAcentral.